RNAcentral lists this transfer RNA (75 nucleotides) under Sphaerodactylus townsendi. Its description in RNAcentral is "tRNA-Ala". It matches the Rfam family "tRNA". From Rfam's summary of the family: Transfer RNA (tRNA) molecules are approximately 80 nucleotides in length. Their secondary structure includes four short double-helical elements and three loops (D, anti-codon, and T loops). Further hydrogen bonds mediate the characteristic L-shaped molecular structure. tRNAs have two regions of fundamental functional importance: the anti-codon, which is responsible for specific mRNA codon recognition, and the 3' end, to which the tRNAs corresponding amino acid is attached (by aminoacyl-tRNA synthetases). tRNAs cope with the degeneracy of the genetic code in two manners: having more than one tRNA (with a specific anti-codon) for a particular amino acid; and 'wobble' base-pairing, i.e. permitting non-standard base-pairing at the 3rd anti-codon position. Lineage: Eukaryota; Metazoa; Chordata; Lepidosauria; Squamata; Sphaerodactylidae. The record is from RNAcentral.
GGAGGGGCCUUGGCUCAAUGAUAGAACAUCUGCUUGGCAUGCAGAACGUUGCAGGUUCAAUCUCUGAUGUCUCCA